This 259-nucleotide long non-coding RNA is filed under the name Helianthus annuus (common sunflower). RNAcentral's name for it is "sRNA HanXRQr2_Chr04g0181661". The record is from RNAcentral. Lineage: Eukaryota; Viridiplantae; Streptophyta; Magnoliopsida; Asterales; Asteraceae.
UUUUCUUUUUCUCCAAACUCUGUAAACACUGCAAAAUUAUAGUGAAUUGUUUCUCGGCUUCCGCCACCCAUGGUUUUUCCCGAUUUGGGUUUUCCACAAAGGCAACUCCAAGGACAUAGGAAUUGGGAUGGGGAAGAACCAGGAGUUUGAGAAACCGAUUGAGAGCAAGAAGAGGGAAACAGGGAAAAAACAAAGUUUGAAAUUUGGAUUAAGAGGGAAAAGAGAAUUUAUGGAGAAAAUGGAAAUUUAGAUAAGGGCA